Molecule: long non-coding RNA, 490 nt
Organism: Hyaena hyaena (striped hyena)
Lineage: Eukaryota; Metazoa; Chordata; Mammalia; Carnivora; Hyaenidae
Exons: 3
Source: RefSeq, a predicted model, not a curated record
GCCCAAGUGUGGUUGGCUGAAGGAGCGCCUGUGCCCUGGAGGAUCGCCAGAGGGAGCCGGAACCUCCGCGCAGAGCACUGCUCCAAUCUCGGCCCUGCUACUGAGAAACAUCUCAUAACUUCUACGAGAUGACUUGACAGAGCUGCAGAUGCUGAAAACGGUACUUAACUACUAUUUGGGAAAAAUCAUUGUGGUUAAUUUAUAAAAAGCUGAAAGGGAAAGUGCCUGUGGGCCAGCUCUCGUCCCAAGAGAGGUCCUCCCUGCUUUCAAGGUCUUAGACAUACCCACUCACAGUGUGAGAUGGACAGAAGUGGUUGAGUCCUUCCUCCACCAAUCAAGAUGUGUGCCCUGACCUCACAGGACCAGAAAAGCCAAGGGCGCAGGCCAAGACCACUCUGGUGGGCAUGUUAUCACAGCUUGUUCGCCUGUCCCUCCCAGGCAGGGACAUCGUGGGGGGCCUGGGGCAAUAGGGUUGGGGGUAGAGGAGGCC